RNAcentral lists this ribosomal RNA (492 nucleotides) under uncultured bacterium. RNAcentral's name for it is "partial 16S ribosomal RNA". It matches the Rfam family "Bacterial small subunit ribosomal RNA", at positions 28 to 507 of the family's 1533-position model. The record is from RNAcentral.
GAUGAACGCUAGCUACAGGCUUAACACAUGCAAGUCGAGGGGAAACGACAUCGAAAGCUUGCUUUUGAUGGGCGUCGACCGGCGCACGGGUGAGUAACGCGUAUCCAACCUGCCCAUCACUUGGGAAUAACCUUGCGAAAGUAAGACUAAUACCCAAUGACAUCCCACGAAGACAUCUGAAUGGGAUUAAAGAUUUAUCGGUGACGGAUGGGGAUGCGUCUGAUUAGCUUGUUGGCGGGGUAACGGCCCACCAAGGCAACGAUCAGUAGGGGUUCUGAGAGGAAGGUCCCCCACAUUGGAACUGAGACACGGUCCAAACUCCUACGGGAGGCAGCAGUGAGGAAUAUUGGUCAAUGGGCGAGAGCCUGAACCAGCCAAGUAGCGUGCAGGAGGACGGCCCUAUGGGUUGUAAACUGCUUUUAUAAGGGAAUAAAGUGGGUCUCGUGAGACUUUUUGCAUGUACCUUAUGAAUAAGGACCGGCUAAUUCCGUG